Molecule: ribosomal RNA, 206 nt
Filed under: uncultured bacterium
Lineage: Bacteria
Description: partial 16S ribosomal RNA
Rfam family: Bacterial small subunit ribosomal RNA
Source: RNAcentral
CGCGCAGGCGGUCUUGUCCGUCAGGUGUGAAAGCUCGGGGCUCAACCCCGGAAGUGCACUUGAAACAGCAAGACUUGAAUACGGGAGAGGAGAGAGGAAUUCCUGUGUAGAGGUGAAAUUCGUAGAUAUCAGGAGGAACACCGAUGGCGAAGGCAUCUCUCUGGACCGAUAUUGACGCUGAGGCGCGAAGGCGUGGGUAGCGAACG